This 209-nucleotide ribosomal RNA is filed under the name uncultured bacterium. RNAcentral's name for it is "partial 16S ribosomal RNA". It matches the Rfam family "Bacterial small subunit ribosomal RNA", at positions 568 to 776 of the family's 1533-position model. The record is from RNAcentral.
AGCGUAGACGGCAAGGCAAGUCUGAAGUGAAAGCCCGGUGCUUAACGCCGGGACUGCUUUGGAAACUGUUUGGCUGGAGUGCCGGAGAGGUAAGCGGAAUUCCUAGUGUAGCGGUGAAAUGCGUAGAUAUUAGGAAGAACACCAGUGACGAAGGCGGCUUACUGGACGGUAACUGACGUUGAGGCUCGAAAGCGUGGGGAGGCAAAACA